Non-coding RNA from Arachis ipaensis, 501 nucleotides. The record is from RefSeq and is a predicted model, not a curated record. Lineage: Eukaryota; Viridiplantae; Streptophyta; Magnoliopsida; Fabales; Fabaceae.
UUUUUUUACGUUUUCCUUGGAUUACUGCCAUGGCUUCUCUCUCUCCAUCGAAGAUUUGACGUCCUCCGCUGUCGCGCCACCGCCGCCGCUCGCGUCGCACAAGCUCCCUCCACCACCUCUCUCAUCGCGUUUGCUCCCUUCAUCACCAUUGUCGCACGAGCUCUCUCUGUCGUGCUCUUGUCUUACGAGCUCCCUCUGCUGCCGCUCUCGUCGCUGCUUCUUCUCUCCUCGCCAGAGGUUUGUCAUCGUCUCUUCUCAUCACCGUUAGUUCGGUUGAAAAUCAAAGAAUACGAUCCAGGAGAGCUCUUAUGUUUGCAAAUCAGCUGUUGCUGCUGCAGAGAACUGAGUUUCUAAAUUCUAAGUGAAUAUACGAAGUUUGUGUUAGAAGCCCUUGAACUGUUGGAUACCAUAAAGAACUAUGAGAGCCGUGACUCCACAGGAUGGUUUGCUCUUAAAUCUACAUGUUCUUAUCUUUCUUGGUACUGAUACUAAUUUUCUGGU